This 471-nucleotide unclassified non-coding RNA is filed under the name Hevea brasiliensis (rubber tree). The record is from RNAcentral. Lineage: Eukaryota; Viridiplantae; Streptophyta; Magnoliopsida; Malpighiales; Euphorbiaceae.
AAAUACAGAACCUUUCUAAGGUACUCACUUGCCCAGAUACCAUAAUUGCUUUAAUAAUUCCUUUUAUGAUUAUCCAAGUUUCUAAGUCAUGCUUUUAGAUUGUGUUAGGAUGAGAAUAGCGGUUAUAUCAUGGGAAGGUUGAAUUAGUAUAUGGUAAAAGGUAUCCAUUGUUGUAUCAUUUAAAAGGACACUUUAUGGUAGUCUGUGUACUUGCAAGAGAUGAAAUUAUGGGAUAAGUUGGUGGCUGGUGACUAAAGGUGAGGCAAGUAGCUUGUUAGAUGCCUGGGUUGUGAUAUGUUCAUCUGCUUAUGUACUUGCAUGCAUCUUUUUGAUGUUUAAUGUGUUUGCUAGAUGUUUGUUUAUGAAAUCUUCAUUUGCAUCUUUUUUGAUGUUUCAUUUGUUUGCUUCAUACAUAGAUGUUUUCUUACAUGCUACUUCUGUUUGGUUAGAAAACGAAGAGGGCUCCAAAGG